AAGGAACUAGGCAAAAUGGUGCCGUAACUUCGGGAGAAGGCACGCUGGUGUGUAGGUGAAGUCCCUGCGGAUGGAGCUGAGACCAGUCGAAGAUACCAGCUGGCUGCAACUGUUUAUUAAAAACACAGCACUGUGCAAACACGAAAGUGGACGUAUACGGUGUGACGCCUGCCCGGUGCCGGAAGGUUAAUUGAUGGGGUUAUCCGUAAGGAGAAGCUCUUGAUCGAAGCCCCGGUAAACGGCGGCCGUAACUAUAACGGUCCUAAGGUAGCGAAAUUCCUUGUCGGGUAAGUUCCGACCUGCACGAAUGGCGUAAUGAUGGCCAGGCUGUCUCCACCCGAGACUCAGUGAAAUUGAACUCGCUGUGAAGAUGCAGUGUACCCGCGGCAAGACGGAAAGACCCCGUGAACCUUUACUAUAGCUUGACACUGAACAUUGAGCCUUGAUGUGUAGGAUAGGUGGGAGGCUUUGAAGCGUGGACGCCAGUCUGCGUGGAGCCAACCUUGAAAUACCACCCUUUAAUGUUUGAUGUUCUAACGUUGGCCCCUGACCGGGGUUGCGGACAGUGUCUGGUGGGUAGUUUGACUGGGGCGGUCUCCUCCCAAAGCGUAACGGAGGAGCACGAAGGUUAGCUAAUCCUGGUCGGACAUCAGGAGGUUAGUGCAAUGGCAUAAGCUAGCUUGACUGCGAGCGUGACGGCGCGAGCAGGUGCGAAAGCAGGUCAUAGUGAUCCGGUGGUUCUGAAUGGAAGGGCCAUCGCUCAACGGAUAAAAGGUACUCCGGGGAUAACAGGCUGAUACCGCCCAAGAGUUCAUAUCGACGGCGGUGUUUGGCACCUCGAUGUCGGCUCAUCACAUCCUGGGGCUGAAGUAGGUCCCAAGGGUAUGGCUGUUCGCCAUUUAAAGUGGUACGCGAGCUGGGUUUAGAACGUCGUGAGACAGUUCGGUCCCUAUCUGCCGUGGGCGCUGGAGAAUUGAGGGGGGCUGCUCCUAGUACGAGAGGACCGGAGUGGACGCAUCACUGGUGUUCGGGUUGUCAUGCCAAUGGCACUGCCCGGUAGCUAAAUGCGGAAGAGAUAAGUGCUGAAAGCAUCUAAGCACGAAACUUGCCCCGAGAUGAGUUCUCCCUGAGACUAUAAGUCUCCUGAAGGAACGUUGAAGACGACGACGUUGAUAGGCCGGGUGUGUAAGCGCAGCGAUGCGUUGAGCUAACCGGUACUAAUGAACCGUGAGGCUUAACCUU
This 1242-nucleotide ribosomal RNA is filed under the name Klebsiella pneumoniae. Its description in RNAcentral is "partial 23S ribosomal RNA". It matches the Rfam family "Bacterial large subunit ribosomal RNA", at positions 1707 to 2925 of the family's 2925-position model. Lineage: Bacteria; Pseudomonadati; Pseudomonadota; Gammaproteobacteria; Enterobacterales; Enterobacteriaceae. The record is from RNAcentral.